Molecule: long non-coding RNA, 384 nt
Organism: Sebastes umbrosus (honeycomb rockfish)
Lineage: Eukaryota; Metazoa; Chordata; Actinopteri; Perciformes; Sebastidae
Exons: 3
Source: RefSeq, a predicted model, not a curated record
UGUAGGCCAACUAACAGCAGAGAUUUGCUCUUUUGCAAUUGAUAGAAUUAUUAUUAAGGAAACCUAUUUAAAUGUGAAUUGCUGUAAUAUAUCAUUUUGAUUUAAUUGUGUUGUUCCAUAUAAACAAUAAUAUUGGUGGACAGUAGGAUAGGAUUUCCCACCGUAGAGGUUCCGUCUCCUAGCAACAGUCAAGAUUUCCUCUAUCAUGUUUACGACAACGAUAUUAAUAUAUUCCCUUUUAAUUGCCUAAACUAAAGCAUAUAUACAGUUUAUGUGUUAUUUUGUGACACAAUGGCGUGUAGGUCUAUAUAAAAACAACAGUAGGCUAGUGGUAGUAUUGUAAGUUCAGUGUGACAAAGUGAAAGUGAUUCCUCAAUGUCGCAC